ACGGGUGAGGAACACGUAGGAAUCUACCCUCGAGCGGGGGACAACCAAGGGAAACUUUGGCUAAUACCGCAUAAUCUCGAGAGAGUAAAGCUGCCCGCAAGGGUGGCACUCGAGGAGGAGCCUGCGUCCGAUUAGCUAGUUGGUGAGGUAAGAGCUCACCAAGGCGAUGAUCGGUAACUGGUCUGAGAGGACGGCCAGUCACACUGGGACUGAGACACGGCCCAGACUCCUACGGGAGGCAGCAGUGGGGAAUAUUGGACAAUGGGGGCAACCCUGAUCCAGCGAUGCCGCGUGAGUGAAGAAGGCCUUCGGGUCGUAAAGCUCUUUAGGUUGGGAAGAAGGGUAUAGGCUGAAUAAUCUUAUACUUUGACGGUACCGACAGAAUAAGCACCGGCAAACUCUGUGCCAGCAGCCGCGGUAAUACAGAGGGUGCGAGCGUUAAUCGGAAUUACUGGGCGUAAAGGGCGCGUAGGCGGUGAGAUGUGUGUGAUGUGAAAGCCCCGGGCUUAACCUGGGAAGUGCAUCGCAAACUAUCUGACUGGAGUAUAUGAGAGGGUGGCGGAAUUUCCGGU
Molecule: ribosomal RNA, 572 nt
Filed under: uncultured bacterium
Lineage: Bacteria
Description: bacterial SSU rRNA
Rfam family: Bacterial small subunit ribosomal RNA
Source: RNAcentral